GGUAUUGUUUUAUAUCCACCCCACGAUAAGCCCCGGAAACUUAUUGUGUUACAAGAUAUAGAAGCAGGAA
Non-coding RNA from Staphylococcus microti, 70 nucleotides. NCBI's taxonomy places the organism in Bacteria, Bacillati, Bacillota, Bacilli, Caryophanales, Staphylococcaceae. The record is from Rfam.